AAAAACUGUUUUUGCUGCUGGUUCCUCCAAAAAAUUUAUCUUCGCACGUUUCCUCCCUCCAUUUCCUGGGUUUUUUUCCUCCUCUUUCGGAAGCAGUUAUGAUCUAACAGAGAAUACAAAACCCAUCUCCUUCCCUGUACGCCCUCUUCCAAUCUCUCCAGUCUCCUUCCCCAGCAGCUCCACCGUGGACGGCAGCUGCCGCCCCCGGCACGGACCCCUGCAGCCCUGGCCGCGCGUCCCCAGUGCGGCGGUACCGCAGCCCUGGUCGCGCGUCCCCAGGACCCCAGAUCCAGUCCGGCCGCGCGGCGUGCGCUCAUCCUCCGCGCGUCCCAACGUGUGCGUCCCCGGCGCGCAUCCCCUGUGCGUGCCGCACAGCAGCAGCAGCAGCCGCCUCACCAUCGCGUAUUGACUUGGUGAAUUUGUUCCUGGCGAUCGAGCAGAUUCUAGGUGACCCGUGUAUAGCUUUUGUGGAUUUGGGCACUGGGAGGUUAUUUGCAUCUACUAGCAGCUGCGACGUGGACGUGAUACAUUUGCAGGACCUGGCCCAACCUCUUUGCACCAUGAUCUAAGUUGUCAGCCAAGUCUGAUCUGCCCAUCUGCUGCCUUGCAAUUAUUCUGAUUGAGCCCGUGUACAAGACUGUCCUUCUUUAUUCAAUUCGGCGAGCGCCAAGGCUGCAUGUAAGCUGUAUCCACUGGAUCCCAACACAAGCCUCCAGGUCUCAAACUACAGGUUACUGGAGAUGAAACACAACACCAGGGCUAGAAAUGGGUUACAAGUUGAAAUAGACAAUUUUACAAGUAAUCAAGGCCUUGAACUACCAUUUUCGAAUCAUACACACCACGUACCUGGAACUAAGGUUCACUGAUUAGACUAGCUUACAUGAAAAUUCAGUCGAAUAGCUUGAUUAACAAUAAAAUUUUUACAGCUAGCUGAAUCAAUUAGAGGCAAGAACUAUGACACUUUACUAGCAAAAAUCUCACGGAAAGUACCUAACAGAGUACUAAAAGCAUGUUCCAGAUGACAAGCAUAUAUAGCAAAUACUAAUUAGUGAUCAAUCCUGACAUGUAUUACCUCUGUUUUCUUUUACUUGUCGUUUAGGACAUCGACACGUUCUCCAACAAGCAUGCUUGAUCAAUAUUUUUGACAACUACCUUUUAGUAAAAGUUGAUAAAAAUUAGAUGAUUUCAAAAUAUUUUUCAUGAUAAAUUCACUACUAUUAUUUUCAUGUACCAAAUCCUAAUAGUUUUGUGUAUUUUAGUGGUCAAUGUUUCUAAAGUUUGACUGCACGUAUUCUAGGACGACAUUUAUUUGAGAACAAAAGUAGUACUAGUUAUGUUAGAAACCAGAUAGUAAAGGACUACCAGUUCAAGGCCAAAAUUACAAUGCCAAUUCUUUAAAUUAAUCUCUACUGACCUUAGUACAAACAAAUGCUGCAAACUGUCCGAGGAGAAUGCCAAAUUACUUACAAAUGAAUAAGCACUCGAAGUUGUUCAGAAGCACAGCAAGAUUGCCGCUGUCCUAGAAAUCCAAUUUCCGCCAUUUGUGCUGCGGUCUCACCGAUAAGGAAGACGGAGAUACAAUGCCCCUUUCGCACGACAUGACACACCGUGAUGCGGAGUUGAGCCUAGCUACUCAAGAUCGCGCCUCAAAGACUAGGUGAAGCACCCUUCCUUUUCCCUUGAACUGCGCAAAACAACCUCACUGGAAACCGACAAGCUCAUUGUCGACUCACUACAGAACCAGCAGGUCUCAAGGAAGCAGAGAAGAGCUCUCGAUUGAAGUGUUUUUCUAUGUGUAUCCUCGAGAAGAAGACGUGGGAGAGCAGAUAGAAGAGAGGAAGGAGUUGUCGGCCGCAGAAAUAGGACGCACAACGCAAUGGCCUCGCGCCCACGUCCAUCCUAUUGGGCCUGUUCAAUAAAGCCCUCCGUUAGCCCUUUUUGGAUGCACGCACUUGGGUUGAAUUUGUUAUACCGGCAUGACACUACGCUGCUGCUUUAUGAUAUGCGACGGGUUAAGUUCUGCCUAGCUGACCAAGCUGGGGAAGAUUUGGUUAUCCUGCCUGGGUUGACGUAGUUGGGGCCAUUUCGAACGCGUACUCUCACGGGUCCGUCGUCACAACCUAUGGGGAUCGUUCGACUCAGUUGCAUGUAUAAGUUAUAUCUUAGUUGCACCAUGGCUUUGUGACUUUUGUUGUACCUGAUGAGGAGCUUCCAUUAGAUAAGGAUGGUACCAUUGUUCCUGAGUAUGCGCAUAGCAGAGAGAACCCAACUUUUACCCUUGGGGCCACAUUUGCUGAGAGUGAUACCUUCAAGCUUGCUAUAAGGCAAUACACCAUUUUAUUGUUUUUUGUGUAAUCUAGAAUAGUUGCUUCUUUCAUAUCAGGAAGAUUUCAGAUGAACAUACAUGUUUGUGCACAAGCAAUUUGAGUGGCAAGAUGGCUUCACAGGCUUGGGUUGGAGAUAGAGAGAAAGGAAAUAAUGAUCAAGGAACUAAAUUUUGGAGUUAGGAAGCUUCAAGAGAAGUUGGAAAAGAAGUACAAUGUUACCCUGAGGACUGAGGUAUGGGAGAGUGUGGAAUGGGAGGCAAAAGGCUUUGGACGAUAUACAUGGAUCAUGUUGGAAUGACAGUUUUGAAGGGCUUUUGAGAUUCAAGGCUGCAGUGGAGCCAACCUACGUAGCAUUGUUUAUAUUGAUGUUAAGAAUCGCAAUGGGAAGGUGGUCUUCAAUAUGCUAUUUGAUGGAUUCUUGAAACGAUGUAGUAUCUGGGAUGUGACUCAUAACUUUUCUGAAUAGGAGGUACACAUGCUAGCUUGCUGCAGCUACUGCGGUAGAUGAACAUAAUUGGUUGUUCCCCGUGGCUUAUGGUGUGUUUGACAAGGAGAUUGAUGAUAACUUGGAGUGGCUUAUGCAACGACUGCAACAAUCAAUCGGCACACCUCCUGGGUUGGUGAUACACACUGAUGUGGAAAAGGGACUUGAGUCUGCUGUUAGAAAGGUAUUCUAUACUGGUGUUGAGCAUAGAGAGUGCUUCAAGCAUCUCCUUGGCAAUUUCAAGAAGUAUAAGGGUGACAUAAUUGUCAAGAACAUGUGGCCAGUUGCUUGGACAUUUGUACUAAAAAGCAUUCAAGCUUGAUGGAUGAGAUGGAACAGCAUGCCCUACUGCUAUUGCCCAUCUAAAGAAAAAUCAGAAACAUUUGUGGACAAGGAGCAAGUUUUCAGAGUUGUCCAAGGUUGAGUAUGUGUGCAACAACCUUGUUGAAUCUGUCAAUAACUGGAUCAAGGGGAUAAAGGACUUACAACUUGAUGAUUUUGUUGAUAAGAUAAGGCAGAUGAUAAUGGUUUGGAUGUCCAGUGUGGAGGGUAGCAUUUUGCCUAGUGUGGUGAAGGCUCUCAAUGCCAAGAGUAGGGUGCUAAGGUAUGAAAUUUUCAGGAGUGGAGACAAUGCUGAUGCAUCAGGGAUUGAUUCUAGAAUCGACAAGACAUGGAGGCAUGCAGUAUUGCUCAAAGAAUGCCAAUGUUCGUGUUGGCAGUAGCAGGUUUCUGGGAAGUCCUGCCUCCAUGCAAUUGCUAUCAUAUGCUUUCUUUGGCAAGCGAAAAUGGAAGAUUAUGUGCAUGAAUACUUCUCGGUGGCUAGAUUCAAGAUGGCAUAUGGCAGUUCUAUCUUACCUUUGGGAUAUAAGGAUCUGUAGCCUCAAGUUGAUCCUUCCCAAGCUUGGAAGAUUAGCAGGAAGGCCCAUAGUAACAAGCAUUAAGUCCUCUGGUGAUACCGGCACAAAGUCAAAGCAAUCUGGUAGAUGCAAGAGUUUGGCCACCACAAGACCAAUUGCAAGGAGCCUGAGUGGCGAGAGGGAGAUAGCCUUCCAAUCGCAGCAUGAAAGACUAGAAAAGGCAAGCUAUAACAGCGUAAAUGUAUUUUUUUUAACUAAAUUAAUUAUUUCCUAAACUUGUGUAUCUGGAGAUGUAAUAUUUUGCAUCCCCUGCUUGUCUCAUGUUAUUAUACUGAGGAUUGCGGUUAUGAACUAUCAAUUUCUUUUGGACCUACAGAAGUUUGCACUUUUUAUCACAUAUAUGAUACUGAAUCUUUCACCUUAUUUGACAUGUACUGCUGAAUAUUGUGCUUUUGGUCACAUAUGUGCUACUGCAACAUACACUGCAUAUAUGAUGAUUCCGAAAGCAUCUUUUUUUGCUCACAGAAGUGCUGCUGGAACAAGCACCAUUUGCUAACAAUUAUGCUGCUGAAACAAACACUGCAUAUAUGUUGUAAAAACAAUAAGCAGUGUUUGGUCAAACAAGCACCAUUUGCUAACAAUUAUGCUACUGAAACAAACUCUGCAUAUAUGUUGUAAAAAUCAGCCUGUUUGGUCACAGAAAUGCUGCUGGAACAUGCAUUCUUGCUCAAGUACAUCAAGUAUUCCUUUCCACUUCGAUUCACACAUACUGUACAUUCAAUUUUGCACAUGUACAUGCUGCUGAAAUAAUACAAUCUGAUUCACAUGCAAGUGUUUCUGAAAAACUAGUCACAGGUAUGCUUUUGUUGACAUGUUGAAUGAAAAUUCGUGUUGUACAAAUUCUCCUGGUUACAAUCAGCACAAGCAUAUCAAAAACUGGAAACUAGUUCACUAGAAUCAAACCAAAUGAAAGUAGUUGACAACCAGAAGAAGCAAUCUUGUUGUAAAUGUGCUCCGCGCUGGAGUGCUUGGGGCAGAUGCGGCGAAUUUCAGUACGACAUGGACAAGAAUUGCGUAUCUCUGAUCGACCCUCCGGACAAUUCGUUGGGGUUCGCCGGCGUUAAAGGAAGGUGAAUCCCGAGGGAGUUGCAGGAUGGGUACAAUCCAAUGCAGGGUCAUCGAGUUUGAGAUACUGUUCCCAUCGACAACCCUUACAAGCGAGCUAGUGUGUGUGAUUGGUUUUUCUGAGGGUGUUAGUGUCAUCUUCAUCAGCAUAGAUGUCGGCGUGUUCACCAUUGAGCUCAACUCAGGACUACAUUUCCCUCUUACCCUUCACACGCUUCUACACUCCAGAUCGGGGUAGAUUGUCAUGGCCAGCAAGGACUCUCCCUGAUUUGAAAUGUGUCGCUUAACCGUAAGACGUGGCAACAUGGACGAAUCCAUCAUCAUCUUGAGUCAGCUGCUGUUGGCUUCUUGCAGAGCUACUGGUUUCAAGUGGUUUCUAUCGUGGUUUCAAAUGGUGCAAGUCAUUAUGGUCGAUUAUGGUUGUUUUGUCGAGUUCGUCCAGGUCUUAUAGUCGAAAACUGUUCAAGGAUCAUUAAAUGCAAUUGCAGAACUAGGACUUCGCUCAUCAAAACCGGUUGAGACAUACUUGUCGUACUGCAUGUUUCAGUAAUUUCAGUUUGGUUUUAAUCUGCCAUCGUGUUGCUCACCCCUACUCUUACAAGCCACAAGGCACUACUCCAUGAAGAAAGGCGCUUCAAUGACUUGUGCAGGAUCGAAGAACUUUUCAAUGCCUGUUAGGAUAAUCUACACCCAAUGUUGA
Phragmites australis (common reed) is the source of this 5493-nucleotide long non-coding RNA. RefSeq lists it as uncharacterized. Lineage: Eukaryota; Viridiplantae; Streptophyta; Magnoliopsida; Poales; Poaceae. The transcript is spliced from 5 exons. The record is from RefSeq and is a predicted model, not a curated record.